CUUUGUUCUCCUUGCUUUUGGUUAUUAAAAACUUUAUUGAUAUAUUCUGUAGCAGAGAGAUUUUUUUUUUUCAAAGUCUUCCCUGGUCUUCUAACAAGCCCAUAAAAGUCACUCUUGGGAGUUCCCGUUGUGGCUUAGUGGUUAAAGAACCCGACUAGGAACCAUGAGGUUGCAGGUUUGAUCCCUGCCCUUGCUCAGUGGAUUAAGGAUCCGGUGUUGCCGUGAGCUGUGGUAUAGGUUGCAGAUGUGGCUCGGAUCCCGCAUUGCUGUGGCUGCGGCAUAGGCCAGCGGCUACAGCUCUGAUUAGACCCCCAGCCUGGGAAUCUCCAUAUGCCAAGGGAGCGGCCCAAGAAAUGGCAAAAAGACAAAAAACAAAAGAAAAAAAAAAAGUCAGUCUUUAUUUUUGUUGCAGUAUUUUUAAUACCUAACAUUUUUUUUCUUAGGAUUUUCAUCUCUGCUUGCUUGGCCCUUCUAUCUGUGCACACUGUCUACUUCAUACUUUAGUGCCCUUAGCCUAUUAAUCGUUGUUUAAAUUCCCAUUCUGAUAAUUCCAACAUCCUUGCCAUGUUUGGUUCUGAUAUUUGCUAUGCCUCUUCAUAUUGUGUUUUUUGCCUUUUGAUUGUCUUGUAAUUUUUUCUUUAUAGCUGUUCAUAGGCAUAGGUAAAAAUACUGCUAUAGAUAGGCCUGUAGAAGUGUAGUGGUAAAGUAUGCAGGGAAGAAAAGCGUUCUAUAGCCCUAUGAUUACGUCUCUGUCCUUCAGUGAGCCUAUGCCUCUGCACUCUGAGCACAUGGAGGGGCAGGGAGAAUGAUGAGAAAGAGGGCAUGGAACCUCUCUGACCUUUUCCCUAAGCCUUGCCUAUUCAUUGCUUCUAUCUGGCUGUACUGAGUAAUACCCUUUUAGGGUAGACAGAUAAUCUAGUAAGUAAAAUGUUUCAAUGAGCUUCUCAAGCAAAUUAAUCAAGCCGAAGAAGAGAAUCUUUGGAACCUGUGAUCUAUAGCUGGUAAUCAGAAUUCUAGGUGACAACCUGGAUUUGUGAGUGGCAUCUGAAGUUGGUGUUGAGGAGCAGUCUGAUAGGAACUAGAUCUUAAUCUGUGGGAUCUAAUGCUAACUACAGGAAAAUAGUGUUAAAACUGAGUUAAAUGGUAGGGCACCUGUUUGUUAUCUGAGAAUUGUUUGGAUGUGUGGGGCACAUCAGGAUUGGUGAUGGAAUUUUUAAUGAUAAAAGGACAAAAGGAAACUCUUGGAUAUUAAAAUAUGGUUGUAAAAUAAAUAUUCAGUAGAAUGUUCAAAAUAUAAAGUUGAAGAAAGUUAUUUUUAUACAGUAUGGCAAACCAAAAGAGUAGGAAAUAUGAGAGAAAAAGAAACUUGAAAUUAAUCCAUGAGGUCUAACUUUACACUAAUGAGUUGCAGAAAGAAUUGAAUAGAGAUGACAGUGAGGAGAAAAUUAUUAAGGCUACAAGAAACUUCUUUGGGUUUAAGCACCCCAUGUUAAGAUUCAAAAGAGGCCACUAAUUGCUUAACCUAAUGAAUGAAAAAGGUGAAGAACUGGACACAUCCAUCACUGUGAGUAUUAGGAGCAUUAGAGAUAAAGAAAAAACAAAAUCUGAAAGAGAGAAAAAAGUAUUGAAAGGAGUGAUAGGAAAAUAAAGCAAUUUGCUUCAAGAGACUAGAAUCAGAGAUUUUUUUUUUUUUUAAUUUUAUUACCAUCAGCACAGCAUGCACUGGAAGAAUGGGAAUCAAGCCUUGAAGUCUUAAGAUAAAGUUAUUUCUACCGUCCAUUCCAUGCUUGGCUAACAAAUUAUAAAGAUAUUCAAGUAGGCAAUCAUUGAGGAAAAAUACAUUCUAAGCACCCUAUAGAAAGUUUCUUAAGCCUGUGCGCUGGUGAAACAAAGGAGAAAAGUAAGAGAAAAAUGUAUAAUUCAAGAAACCUGAAACCCAUUCUAGAGAACAAAGAAGGAUGAAAAUGGCACAGUCAACCUGGAGAACACUCAGCUCAGGCUGAGAAGCUGUUUCUGUUCAGAUUCACUCUGGUGGAAUUCAAGCAGGAAGGAGAUACGUCUGGUACUGCCACACCACAGUUCAUAAUAGCAGAUGCAUAUGGAGGAGGAAUGAUGAGUGCAUUUCCUUUGGCUGCUUUUAUUGCUCCAAGUCUGGGUACAGUUGAAAUCUCUGUCUUUCUCAUGCCCAGCCACCUCUUCUCCAAUACCCUUCUCUUUCUCACAAGCCUAGGGGGUGGUUCGGCUGAGGACUCUGGCCAGUAAUCUCCCAGAAAGCCUUUUGCUUUCUUUACUUUUACAGUUUUAUUUCCUUCAAUCUUGUCUGAUAAAAUCUCUUACCAAAAAUUCUCAAUUUGGUCAGGCUAGAUUUUCCUGAUUUCUGAUGUUGUUACAGACAUCUCCUUUCCUCAUUCCCUUAUUAAUGGAGUUCCCUUCGUGGCUUAGUGGUUAAUGAACCCGACUAGGAACCAUGAGGUUGCAGGUUAGAUCCCUGGCCUUGCUCAGUGGGUUAAGAAUCCAGCAUUGCUGUGAGCUGUGGUGUAGGUCGCAGAUGUGGCUCGGAUCCUGUGUUGCUGUGGCUGUGGUGUAGGCUGGCAGCUGUAGCUCCAUUCGACCCCUAGCCUGGGAACUUCCGUAUGCCGCGGGUGAGGCCCUAAAAAGAAAAAUUAAAAAAAUAUAUAUUGGAGAGACAUUCCAAAUGACAAAGUUAAUUGAUAGAUGUGUUGAUUGUUAAUUAAUUUCCUUGAACCGUUUUACUAAUGGCAUAGUUUUUUUCUUAUAGCAGUAUAUAGAUUACUGAAGAAAAUAUUCGUGUGCCUUUAUAGUCACCUCGGUGUUUUGUUAACUGAUGGAUUUGCACGGUGGUGCUGAAAAACGCCCUCAGCACAUGGUCACUCAGUGAAGCCAUAUUGUGUGUGUCUUAUUUGUUUUACAUUUUUUCUUUUUGUUGGUGCAAAUUUCUUCAUCUUCUAAUUUCUACUGGGGUUUUGUUUAUUUCUGACACAAAUCAGAUAUGU
This 3014-nucleotide long non-coding RNA is filed under the name Sus scrofa (pig). Its description in RNAcentral is "lncRNA (ENSSSCG00000057400.1, ENSSSCG00105034056.1)". The record is from RNAcentral. Lineage: Eukaryota; Metazoa; Chordata; Mammalia; Artiodactyla; Suidae.